This 254-nucleotide ribosomal RNA is filed under the name uncultured bacterium. RNAcentral describes it as "partial 16S ribosomal RNA". It matches the Rfam family "Bacterial small subunit ribosomal RNA", at positions 524 to 776 of the family's 1533-position model. The record is from RNAcentral.
CACGUAGGGUGCGAGCGUUGUCCGGAAUUAUUGGGCGUAAAGAGCUCGUAGGCGGUGUGUCGCGUCGGCCGUGAAAACCUGCAGCUUAACUGUGGGCGUGCGGUCGAUACGGGCAUCACUGGAGUUCGGCAGGGGAGACUGGAAUUCCUGGUGUAGCGGUGAAAUGCGCAGAUAUCAGGAGGAACACCGGUGGCGAAGGCGGAUCUCUGGGCCUUACCUGACGCUCAGGUGCGAAAGCUAGGGGAGCGAACAGG